ACGAACGUUGGCGGCGUGGAUUAGGCAUGCAAGUCGAGGGAAUUCCCGCAAGGGAGGAACCGGCGUAAGGGGCAGUAAUGUAUAGGUACCUACCCUGGAGUUCGGCAUAGCCAUCAGAGAUGGUGGGUAAUACCGGAUGAUGUCGUGAGACCAAAGAUUUAUCGCUUUGGGAGGGGCCUAUAUGAUAUUAGCUUGUUGGCGGGGUAACGGCCCACCAAGGCUAAGAUGUCUAGCGGGUGUGAGAGCACGACCCGCGCCACUCGCACUGAGACACUGGCGAGACACCUACGGGUGGCUGCAGUCGAGGAUCUUCGGCAAUGAGCGCAAGCUUGACCGAGCGACGCCGCGUGCGCGAUGAAGGCCUCCGGGUUGUAAAGCGCUUUAGGGGGGGAGAAAAGCCGAAAGGUGUGAUCUAUCCCCAAAAUAAGCACGGGCUAAGUUCGUGCCAGCAGCCGCGGUAAGACGAACCGUGCGAACGUUGUUCGGAAUCACUGGGCUUAAAGGGCGCGUAGGCGGGCUGUCAAGUCUGGGGUGAAAUGCCGCGGCUCAACCGUGGAACUGCCUUAGAUACUGACGGCCUCGAGGAAGGUAGGGGCAUGCGGAACUGUAGGUGGAGCGGUGAAAUGCGUUGAUAUCUACAGGAACUCCGGUGGCGAAAGCGGCGUGCUGGACCUUUUCUGACGCUGAGGCGCGAAAGCGUGGGGAGCAAACGGGAUUAGAUACCCCGGUAGUCCACGCUGUAAACGAUGACGACCAGGUGUGGGGUGGUUCAGUCCAUUCCGUGCCGCAGCUAACGCAUUAAGUCGUCCGCCUGGGGAGUACGGCCGCAAGGUUGAAACUCAAAGGAAUUGACGGGGGCCCGCACAAGCGGUGGAGCAUGUGGUUCAAUUCGAUGCAGAGCGAAGAACCUUACCUGGGCUUGACAUGUAGGAAGUAGGAACCCGAAAGGGGGACGACUCGUUAAGUCGAGAGCCUACACAGGUGGUGCAUGGCUGUCGUCAGCUCGUGCCGUGAGGUGUUGGGUUAAGUCCCGCAACGAGCGCAACCCUCACCCUAUGUUGCCAACGGUUCGGCCGGGCACUCUUAGGGAACUGCCGGCGAAGAGCUGGAGGAAGGGGGGGAUGACGUCAAGUCCGUAUGCCCUUUAUGCCCAGGGCUACACACAUGCUACAAUGUGCGGUACAGAGGGUUGCCAACUCGCAAGAGGGAGCCAAUCCCACAAAGCCGCGCUCAGUUCGGAUUGCAGGCUGCAACUCGCCUGCAUGAAGUCGGAAUCGCUAGUAAGCGCAGAUCAGCAGGCUGCGCUGAAUACGUUCCCGGGCCUGUAC
This 1328-nucleotide ribosomal RNA is filed under the name uncultured bacterium. RNAcentral describes it as "partial 16S ribosomal RNA". It matches the Rfam family "Bacterial small subunit ribosomal RNA", at positions 29 to 1386 of the family's 1533-position model. The record is from RNAcentral.